RNAcentral lists this ribosomal RNA (463 nucleotides) under uncultured bacterium. Its description in RNAcentral is "SSU rRNA". It matches the Rfam family "Bacterial small subunit ribosomal RNA", at positions 26 to 518 of the family's 1533-position model. The record is from RNAcentral.
AGAACGAACGCUGGCGGCAUGCCUAACACAUGCAAGUCGAACGCUCUUGAGGCUUCGGUUUCAAGGGAGUGGCGCACGGGUGAGUAGCGCGUGGGAACCUGCCCUGUUGUGGGGGAUAACCGAGGGAAACUUCGGCUAAUACCGCAUGCGCCCGGGGAAACCCGGGGAAAGAUUUAUCGCAGCAGGAGGGGCCCGCGUCGGAUUAGGUAGUUGGUAGGGUAACGGCCUACCAAGCCUUUGAUCCGUAGCUGGUCUGAGAGGAUGAUCAGCCACACUGGGACUGAGACACGGCCCAGACUCCUACGGGAGGCAGCAGUGGGGAAUAUUGGACAAUGGGCGCAAGCCUGAUCCAGCAAUGCCGCGUGAGUGAUGAAGGCCUUAGGGUUGUAAAGCUCUUUCGCCCGCGACGAUGAUGACGGUAGCGGGAGAAGAACGCCCCGGCUAACUUCGUGCCAGCAGCCGC